RNAcentral lists this ribosomal RNA (254 nucleotides) under uncultured bacterium. Its description in RNAcentral is "partial 16S ribosomal RNA". It matches the Rfam family "Bacterial small subunit ribosomal RNA", at positions 524 to 776 of the family's 1533-position model. The record is from RNAcentral.
UACGGGGGGUGCGAGCGUUGUCCGGAAUCACUGGGCGUAAAGGGCGCGUAGGUGGCGUCGUAAGUUUGUGGUGAAAGCCCGGAGCUCAACUCCGGGUCUGCCGCGAAUACUGCGAGGCUUGAGUACUGUAGGAGGGGGGUAGAAUAUCGGGUGUAGCGGUGGAAUGCGUAGAGAUCCGAUAGAAGACCGGUGGCGAAGGCGGCCCCCUGGGCAGUAACUGACACUGAGGCGCGACAGCGUGGGGAGCAAACAGG